UACGUAGGGUGCGAGCGUUAAUCGGAAUUACUGGGCGUAAAGCGUGCGCAGGCGGUUUUGUAAGCCAGAUGUGAAAUCCCCGGGCUUAACCUGGGAAUGGCAUUUGGGACUGCAAGGCUGGAGUGUGGCAGAGGAGACUGGAAUUCCUGGUGUAGCAGUGAAAUGCGUAGAUAUCAGAAGGAACAUCAGUGGCGAAAGCGACUUCCUGGACCAGUACCGACGUUCAGGCACGAAAGCGUGGGGAGCAAACAGG
RNAcentral lists this ribosomal RNA (253 nucleotides) under uncultured bacterium. RNAcentral's name for it is "partial 16S ribosomal RNA". It matches the Rfam family "Bacterial small subunit ribosomal RNA", at positions 524 to 776 of the family's 1533-position model. The record is from RNAcentral.